This 536-nucleotide long non-coding RNA is filed under the name Salvia miltiorrhiza (redroot sage). RNAcentral describes it as "long non-coding RNA (SMIL_LNC003258)". Lineage: Eukaryota; Viridiplantae; Streptophyta; Magnoliopsida; Lamiales; Lamiaceae. The record is from RNAcentral.
CUGAACUCUGCUGCUCCGUGCAGUACAUUUCAGAAAAUAGUUUGACAUGUCUAUUGGUCUCGGAUUUAGCUGAAAUUUUGCAGAGAACGACUACACAUGAUGAAGUUAUUACAGUAAAAAUUUCAAGUUAUUUGGACUACGAAAACAUCAUCAAAAGUACCCCGAAACAUACUGCCCUGUCAAGCCGAAAACUGACAGCAAAGCCCCUUUGUUUCAACUUAACAUAUAAUUCAUACGUUGUCAAAUACAAACCAUAGGAACUCAAUUACAUCAUCUUACUACACAUUAGCAUGCUUUAGCUUGAAAUUUAACUCAUGUUUAACUCAUCAACACAAAGCAAGCAAGUUAUAACACAAUUAAUCACCACAACUUCUCCAAUCAAUACUAAAAGUAGUUCUUCCCUUAUUCAUAAAUCAAAAUUGGCUCAACACAUAGUAACAUGCCCAAUAUCCCCCAAUUUUUAUCACAUAAUCACAUUCCACGCUCCCAAGAGUUCAAUUACAUAAGCAUCAAAUAUUUAGCUAUCUUACCUCAAG